UCCCACCUGAUCCCAUGCCGAACUCAGAAGUGAAACGCCGUAGCGCCGAUGGUAGUGUGGGGUCUCCCCAUGUGAGAGUAGGGAACUGCUAAGC
RNAcentral lists this ribosomal RNA (94 nucleotides) under Proteus mirabilis. The record is from RNAcentral. Lineage: Bacteria; Pseudomonadati; Pseudomonadota; Gammaproteobacteria; Enterobacterales; Morganellaceae.